This 318-nucleotide unclassified non-coding RNA is filed under the name uncultured fungus. Its description in RNAcentral is "partial contains 5.8S ribosomal RNA and internal transcribed spacer 2". The stretch from base 1 to 133 matches the Rfam family "5.8S ribosomal RNA", at positions 22 to 154 of the family's 154-position model. The record is from RNAcentral. Lineage: Eukaryota; Fungi.
UGGUUCCGGCAUCGAUGAAGAACGCAGCGAAAUGCGAUAAGUAAUGUGAAUUGCAGAAUUCAGUGAAUCAUCGAAUCUUUGAACGCACAUUGCGCCCCUUGGUAUCCCGAGGGGCAUGCCUGUUCGAGCGUCAUUUAGGACCUCAAGCUCUGCUUGGUCUUGGGCACGGUCUGACCGACCGGCCUGUAACUGUUAGCGGCGACCGUUGGUCCCCGGGCGUAGCAAAACUAUUCGCCUCUGGGUCCUGCGGGUAGCUGUCUUAAGACUGGCCUCUGGCCACCAAAGUUUGACCUCGGAUCAGGUAGGGAUACCCGCUGA